Molecule: long non-coding RNA, 1733 nt
Filed under: Equus asinus (donkey)
Lineage: Eukaryota; Metazoa; Chordata; Mammalia; Perissodactyla; Equidae
Description: lncRNA (ENSEASG00005036252.1)
Source: RNAcentral
UGACACCUCACAUGACUGUCUCCCACCUUCUGGCAUCUCAGUACUGCCUUGGCUUCCAAAAGAGUGCACUCUCCCGAUUCUCCCCUCUCAGUAAAUAAAGCUGCUGCCUCUCUUGGUGGCAUCCUUAAGUGCCACCAAUUAUGAGUCUGCACCUUAAAUGCGAGACUCCACUCUAAGCCCACAGCUCUUCUCCCCGCACUCUUGGGAAAUCACCUCCACCCAUCAUCAUCACCAUGGUUUCAACUGCCAAAUCAGACAUUUCCAGCCUAUACCUCUUCCACAAAAGUUAGACCCAAAUAUCCAACUGCUUGCCAGGCAGCUCUGUCUAGAUAUCUCAGGGGUACCCCAAACUCAGCAUGUCCAAAACAACUCAUCCUCUGCCUCCAUAGCAGCCCCUCCCUCCGCUGUUGACACCACCAUCUACAGGCAUCAGAAUCGGAAAGCUGGGAAUGAGUGAGUCAUUCUUGAUUCAGCCCUUUGCCUUAUGCCAUCACUCGUCCUAUUUAUUUCACCUCCUUAGAUCUCUACCUCAAAUCUCUGCCUCCAUUCCUACUGGUGGGAGUUCCAGCCAUCCUUUCCAGCCUGAACCGUUGCAGCAGCCUCCUAAAGUCUCCUGCAGACAAACUCAGCCUCCAUUCAGCCUCCAGAGCGAACUCUCUAAAAUGCGCUUCUCUUUAAAAUCCUGCAGAGGUUCCCCUGGCUUCUGGCCGCAGUGCGGACCUACAAGGUCACCUUACCUCCUGUUUCACUGAGAAAAUGCAGACCAUCAAGAGGGAACACCCACGGAUCUACACAUUAACCCACAUCAGCAUCCGCUGUCUCUCCCUCACUCCAGUUUCUGCCAAGGGGCAAUGCCCCCUCCCAAGAGACCUAACCCUUCACAGAUGAGAAACUGAGGAAACUUUACAUGUAUGAGUUCAUUUAAUCUUUCAAACAAUCCUAAGAACUCCUGGCCGAGACCCAGCCCAUGAUGGUGCUCAGUAAUGUGUGCCGAGUAACAAUGAAUGAGAGUUCCUGUUGCUCCACAUCCUCACCAGCAUUCGGUAUUGUUAGUGUUCUGGAUUUUGGCCAUUCUAGUAGGUGUGUGGAGCACAUAACCAGCAGCUCAAUCCUCUCCUGAAGACCAGUGAAAGGCGUGUUCCCUUUCCACUCUGUCAGCUGUGCUCCACCGCUCUGAGACACCACGACCGACAUCCUGGACUGAGGCAAGGCCCCCUUCCCCGGCCUCAGAGCGCUCCAGCAGAGGGCUGCCCGUGCUUGCUCAGCUGGCACGCUGACUCACUCCCGACAGUGUAGUACCAGACAAACUGGAAUCUGUCCACCCUUUGUGGCCUGACAUCAUCCCACAAUUAGCCGGUUUGAAUCCAGCCACACUGAGAAGAUACUAGAAAAGCAGCCCCUCGUCGUCCAGUUGUCUCGUUCACAAAGCCCUGGGACUUCAGGGCCCUCUGGGGAGAUCGAGAGCCAUCUCACAGAGGAGCUGACUGUGAGGGUCUUUACUCCGGAGCUUUCUUCCCCAACUUGUUUCUCUGAAAAACUUCGAACCUACAGGAAAGUUGAGAGAAUAAUACAAUGACCAUGCCUCUACUAGUCACCUAGAUUCACCAACUGCUCCCAUUUCAUCACAUUUGCUUUAUCUCUUUCCCUCCGCUUACAUAUCCACCUGAAAAAUAUAUACUUUUUUCCUGUCGAACCAUUUAAAAUAAAAGUUGCCAAAUCAUGAUGCUUCUGUG